AUUAAUUCGAUGCAACGCGAAGAACCUUACCAAGGCUUGACAUGAACCGGUAAUACCUGGAGACAGGUGCCCCGCUUGCGGUCGGUUUACAGGUGGUGCAUGGUUGUCGUCAGCUCGUGUCGUGAGAUGUUGGGUUAAGUCCCGCAACGAGCGCAACCCUCGUUCUAUGUUGCCAGCACGUGAUGGUGGGGACUCAUAGGAGACUGCCGGGGUCAACUCGGAGGAAGGUGGGGACGACGUCAAAUCAUCAUGCCCCUUAUGUCUUGGGCUUCACGCAUGCUACAAUGGCCGGUACAAAGGGUUGCGAUACUGUGAGGUGGAGCUAAUCCCAAAAAGCCGGUCUCAGUUCGGAUUGGGGUCUGCAACUCGACCCCAUGAAGUCGGAGUCGCUAGUAAUCGCAGAUCAGCAACGCUG
This 415-nucleotide ribosomal RNA is filed under the name uncultured bacterium. RNAcentral's name for it is "bacterial SSU rRNA". It matches the Rfam family "Bacterial small subunit ribosomal RNA", at positions 945 to 1359 of the family's 1533-position model. The record is from RNAcentral.